Rhipicephalus microplus (southern cattle tick) is the source of this 733-nucleotide long non-coding RNA. The record is from RefSeq and is a predicted model, not a curated record. Lineage: Eukaryota; Metazoa; Arthropoda; Arachnida; Ixodida; Ixodidae.
GAAGACUCACAGCCCUUCUUCGGGUGCGACGUCGUCACUGUGACGAAUACGACAGUUCCAUGCCGGUCGACAGCUGCCAGGACCGUGGUGACGGUGAUGGUGACCACCGCGAGUCCCUGUCUUCCUUGUCUUCCCGGCUGAGGACCAAGGCGUUGAUCUGCCUGCUCGUGCCCUUCUGCAUGGUGCUCGUCAUCACUGUCGUCAUCGGCGCUCUCAUGUCCAUGACGACCCGAUGAAAGACUCGGCAACGAGACCUCGCCGCGUGGCUCCUUCCGAGGGAAACGACCAGAUGCGACGCGAUCUUGUCGACUUUCACGGGACUUCGUCGACUCUGUGAGAAACAUGGCGGUGCACACGCGGGGUCGGGACGUUCGCGGAGAGGGUGGACGACUCGUUGUGAAGUCGUGUCAGUCAGGUGAUUCCGCCAGGUGCCUCAUCAUGCUGACCGACCGCAGGAGUUCUUGUCGACCCGACCAGACGAUCCGGGACAGUUGGUAAAAGGGGCGUGAGUGUCAGCUAGCGAACGACGAGAAUAGAAUUCCAUGAGCCCUUCUGCCUGUGUCGUUGCUGCACGGUGUUGGUAGCCUAUUGCAACGCACAUAUUCACGCAUAAUCCCCUUUUCAGAUUUGUUCGCAAAUACUGGAAUGGCUUAUUUGUCUAACGCUUCGGAACUUGCGUAAUCACCAUAGUUCUCGAAUCAAUCACAGCUCCAAUAAAAAUAUGCCACGUAGA